Molecule: long non-coding RNA, 217 nt
Organism: Pecten maximus
Lineage: Eukaryota; Metazoa; Mollusca; Bivalvia; Pectinida; Pectinidae
Exons: 4
Source: RefSeq, a predicted model, not a curated record
UGAUAAAGGAAAUGGCCGAGGAGCCACAAGACCCUCCAGAAGAAAGAAAAGAAGACGGACAGGAUGAUGCUCCAGCACAGGCAGCACCUGAUAUGACAGAUGAUUCAGAGGGCCAUUGGGAAAGUGCAGUAGAGGAAGUAAAGGAAGAGGAUUCGGUCUACCACGACUGCCAAAAGGACAUGUCUCCUAAUCAUUAAAAGCCAGCCUCCAUUCAAAA